RNAcentral lists this ribosomal RNA (253 nucleotides) under uncultured bacterium. RNAcentral describes it as "partial 16S ribosomal RNA". It matches the Rfam family "Bacterial small subunit ribosomal RNA", at positions 524 to 776 of the family's 1533-position model. The record is from RNAcentral.
UACGAAGGGGGCUAGCGUUGCUCGGAAUCACUGGGCGUAAAGCGCACGUAGGCGGAUUGCUAAGUCAGGGGUGAAAUCCUGGAGCUCAACUCCAGAACUGCCUUUGAUACUGGCGACCUUGAGUCCGGGAGAGGUGAGUGGAACUGCGAGUGUAGAGGUGAAAUUCGUAGAUAUUCGCAAGAACACCAGUGGCGAAGGCGGCUCACUGGCCCGGUACUGACGCUGAGGUGCGAAAGCCAGGGGAGCAAACGGG